CCAUAGGUUCAAUUCCGUCUGAUAGUAAAAUAUAUUAUAAUCUCUAUCAAUAUCAUUGAAACUUCUUUCAAUGGAUUGAAAUUCUUUCUAAUUCAGCCAAUUCGAGAAUUAUUGAUCAUCAGAAUAAUUCUCAAGUGGUCUUACGAUCAACUAGUAACACCUAGCAGUAUGUAGUGGCAAUCCAGCAGAACUGAAUAGAUAAAUCUCUAAGUGCAGUUACUAUGUGGUCUGAUUGUGGGACUCAUCGGGCGUUGUCUUGAUGAUUGAUGACCUUCGAAGG
Molecule: long non-coding RNA, 280 nt
Filed under: Elaeis guineensis (African oil palm)
Lineage: Eukaryota; Viridiplantae; Streptophyta; Magnoliopsida; Arecales; Arecaceae
Description: long non-coding RNA (EGUI_LNC036891)
Source: RNAcentral